AAGAAGAGGAAAAGAGGGAAGGUUGUGAGGUCGGGAUGUCCGGCCCACCUUUACAUCACCCACACGGAUGCGUGGUGGAGAGUCAAACGCUUCAACGAUGACCACAACUACCCUCUAAUAAGAAAGCCGUCCUGGACAAAGUUCCUAUCAUCACAUAGGAACAUUCCAAAGGAUGAGUAGGACUUCUUGAAGAUUUUGCACGGAUGCAACAUAGAGACAGCAAGACAGAUGCAACUAAUGUCAUGGUUCUAUGGGUCUCCUAAAGAUGUACCAUACACGACAAAGGACAUCGCAAACCAGCGAGCUAAAUUCCGCAUGGAGUACUGCCAUGCCAUUGUGGGUAGCAAAAUCUCAUACUUCCAAGAUAUGAAGGCACAAGAUCCAGAUUUCUAUUGGAGAAUAAAGCUUGAUGAUGAGGAUAGAGUGGAGAAUUUGUUCUGGAUAGAUGGUGCGUCGCGCAGGGCAUAUGCUAGAUACAAUGAUGUCAUCUCAUUCAACACAACAUACAUGACAAACAUGUACAAGAUGCCUUGUGCACCCUUCAUUGGCAUUAAUAACCAUGGGAAGACAAUCCAGUUUGCUUGUGGAUUUGUUUGA
Molecule: ribosomal RNA, 597 nt
Filed under: Triticum aestivum (bread wheat)
Lineage: Eukaryota; Viridiplantae; Streptophyta; Magnoliopsida; Poales; Poaceae
Description: partial small subunit ribosomal RNA
Source: RNAcentral